UACGUAGGGUGCGAGCGUUGUCCGGAAUUAUUGGGCGUAAAGAGCUUGUAGGCGGUUUGUCGCGUCUGCCGUGAAAAUCCGGGGCUCAACCCCGGACUCGCGGUGGGUACGGGCAGACUAGAGUGUGGUAGGGGAGACUGGAAUUCCUGGUGUAGCGGUGAAAUGCGCAGAUAUCAGGAGGAACACCGGUGGCGAAGGCGGGACUCUGGGCCGAUACUGACGCUGAGGAGCGAAAGCGUGGGGAGCGAACAGG
This 253-nucleotide ribosomal RNA is filed under the name uncultured bacterium. RNAcentral's name for it is "partial 16S ribosomal RNA". It matches the Rfam family "Bacterial small subunit ribosomal RNA", at positions 524 to 776 of the family's 1533-position model. The record is from RNAcentral.